UAACACUCUGAAGUAUAGGAUGGCCACAAUGUAAAAAACAGUAAUACAGAUAAUACAAGAAAGAGUAAGACAAAAUUUAUUUUGCUGUUAAGGGCCCAAGCCUUGGAACCAGCAGUAUCAUGCUAAAUCAGUCAUGAGAUCCAGUCCUGGUUAAUGAAACUUCAGAGUGCCUGAUGAAAGUUUUCUUCCUUAACAACAACAACAACAACAACAACAACAAAACAGGGCAAUUCUACUAUAUACCAAAUCUGAAGAGGAGGAUUUUUCAAAUGCGUUGGGAAAAUGUAUCUGAUAUCAAUUCAGCUGAACAAUCAAGAAACACGGAAUGGAGGUCAUCGCUGAUCCUUCCUUUCCUCUCCCAUAUCCAGUCCAUCGUCAAGACCUACCAAAACUCCACUUCCAUUUCCACUGCCAACACCCUAGUUUAAGACAUCACCAUGCUCUCCUGCUUAGCUUUGUGUAACAGCCUAAAUUGGUCUCCUGUGCCUACUCUAAUAUCCCCCAUCCAUUCUCCAUGUGGCAGUAA
Molecule: long non-coding RNA, 526 nt
Organism: Canis lupus familiaris (dog)
Lineage: Eukaryota; Metazoa; Chordata; Mammalia; Carnivora; Canidae
Exons: 3
Source: RefSeq, a predicted model, not a curated record